UAAGUGAUCCACCUGGGGAGUACGACCGCAAGGUUGAAACUCAAAGGAAUUGACGGGGGCCCGCACAAGCGGAGGAACAUGUGGUUUAAUUCGAUGAUACGCGAGGAACCUUACCUGGGCUUAAAUGUAGAACGACGGACCGGGAAACUGGUCUUUCUUCGGACGGUCUGCAAGGUGCUGCAUGGCUGUCGUCAGCUCGUGCCGUGAGGUGUCGGGUUAAGUCCCAUAACGAGCGCAACCCUCAUCAUUAGUUGCCAGCGGUCACUGCCGCGCGACUCUAAUGAAACUGCCGGUCCUCCCCCCGAGCGCGAAGGUGGGGAUGACGUCAAGUCAGCACGGCCCUUAUGUCCAGGGCUACACACGUGUUACAAUGGUCGGUACAAAGGGCAGCUACCUGGCGACAGGAUGCUAAUCUCGAAAACCGAUCUCAGUUCGGAUCGAAGUCUGCAACUCGACUUCGUGAAGCUGGAUUCGCUAGUAAUCGCGCAUCACCCAUGGCGCGCUGAUACGUUCCCGGGCAUUGACACACCGCCCGUCAAGCCAUGGAAGCUGGGG
This 555-nucleotide ribosomal RNA is filed under the name uncultured organism. Its description in RNAcentral is "bacterial SSU rRNA". It matches the Rfam family "Bacterial small subunit ribosomal RNA", at positions 861 to 1416 of the family's 1533-position model. The record is from RNAcentral.